AACGAACGCUGGCGGCAGGCCUAACACAUGCAAGUCGAGCGAGACCUUCGGGUCUAGCGGCGGUCGGGGGAGUCACGCGUGGGAACGUGCCCUUUUCUGCGGAAUAGCCUCGGGAAACUGAGCGUAAUACCGCAUAAGCCAUUCGGGGGCAAGAUAGAUCGUACAAGGAUCAGCACGCGUUGGAUUAGGUAGUUGGGAGGGUAAUGGCCUACCAAGCCUUCGAUACAUAGCUGGUUAGAGAGGAAGGUCAGCCACUCUGGGACUGAGACGCGGCCCAGACUCCUACGGGAUGCAGGAGAGCGUGAUCUUAGACUACCGGGGCAACGCUGAUGGAGCCAGGCUGGGAGAGUGAUGAAGGCCGUAGAGUAGUAAAGCACUUUAAGCUGGGAAGAUACUGACGGUACCAGAAGAAGAAGCCCCGGCUAACUCCGUG
RNAcentral lists this ribosomal RNA (433 nucleotides) under uncultured bacterium. Its description in RNAcentral is "partial 16S ribosomal RNA". It matches the Rfam family "Bacterial small subunit ribosomal RNA", at positions 29 to 507 of the family's 1533-position model. The record is from RNAcentral.